GCUUAACAUGCAAGUCGAACGGAAAGGCCUAAAGCUUGCUUUGGGUACUCGAGUGGCGAACGGGUGAGUAACACGUGGGUGAUCUGCCCCUGACUUCGGGAUAAGCUUGGGAAACUGGGUCUAAUACCGGAUAGGACAAUCGUUUAGUGUCGGUUGUGGAAAGUUUUUUCGGUUAGGGAUGAGCCCGCGGCCUAUCAGCUUGUUGGUGGGGUAAUGGCCUACCAAGGCGUCGACGGGUAGCCGGCCUGAGAGGGUGGACGGCCACAUUGGGACUGAGAUACGGCCCAGACUCCUACGGGAGGCAGCAGUGGGGAAUAUUGCACAAUGGGCGCAAGCCUGAUGCAGCGACGCCGCGUGGGGGAUGAAGGCCUUCGGGUUGUAAACCUCUUUCGCUAGGGACGAAGCUUUUUGUGACGGUACCUAGAGAAGAAGCACCGGCUAACUACGUGCCAGCAGCCGCGGUAAUACGUAGGGUGCGAGCGUUGUCCGGAUUUACUGGGCGUAAAGAGCUCGUAGGUGGUUUGUCGCGUCGUCUGUGAAAGCCCGGUGCUUAACACCGGGUCUGCAGGCGAUACGGGCAUAACUUGAGUGCUGUAGGGGAGACUGGAAUUCCUGGUGUAGCGGUGGAAUGCGCAGAUAUCAGGAGGAACACCGAUGGCGAAGGCAGGUCUCUGGGCAGUAACUGACGCUGAGGAGCGAAAGCAUGGGGAGCGAACAGGAUUAGAUACCCUGGUAGUCCAUGCCGUAAACGGUGGGCGCUAGGUGUAGGGGUCUUCCACGACUUCUGUGCCGUAGCUAACGCAUUAAGCGCCCCGCCUGGGGAGUACGGCCGCAAGGCUAAAACUCAAAGGAAUUGACGGGGGCCCGCACAAGCGGCGGAGCAUGUGGAUUAAUUCGAUGCAACGCGAAGAACCUUACCUGGGCUUGACAUAUACAGGACCGGGCCAGAGAUGGUCUUUCCCUUUGUGGCUUGUAUACAGGUGGUGCAUGGUUGUCGUCAGCUCGUGUCGUGAGAUGUUGGGUUAAGUCCCGCACGAGCGCAACCCUUGUCUUAUGUUGCCAGCGGUUCGGUCGGGGACUCAUGAGAGACUGCCGGGGUUACUCGGAGGAGGUGGGGAUGACGU
RNAcentral lists this ribosomal RNA (1124 nucleotides) under Corynebacterium sp. RNAcentral's name for it is "bacterial SSU rRNA". It matches the Rfam family "Bacterial small subunit ribosomal RNA", at positions 46 to 1185 of the family's 1533-position model. Lineage: Bacteria; Bacillati; Actinomycetota; Actinomycetes; Mycobacteriales; Corynebacteriaceae. The record is from RNAcentral.